CGCCACUGCACUACAGCCUGACCGACAAAGCAAGACUCAGUCUCAAAAAAAAAAAAAACCAACCAACCAUUCACUAAGUGCAUGUAAGCAAAUCUACCCUGGUUGUCCCAAAUUGGGAUUCAACCACUUUAGAAGUCUUGUUAGACAUUUUUUCAGUGGAUACAUAAUAGUUGUAUGUACUUACCGAGCAUGUGAUAUUGAUAUGUGCAUACAAUAUAUAAUGAUCACAUCAGAAUAACUGGAAUAUCCAUCACCUCAAACAAUGAUCAUUUCUAAAAGAACAUUCCAAAGCUGCUCUUUUAGCUGUUUUGAAAUAUACAAUAAAUUAUUAAUUGUUGGGAAACUUUUGAAAGUUAUCUUUAAGCUGCUUUUUUGGACAAGAGGUAUAUAAUUGCAAUACAGAUGGAUAUUAACUUCCACUGUAUAUUUCAUUAAAGCUGGUAAAAUUUUUUUAAAGGAUCUAAAAUUUUGCCAUGUAAGGAACUUAAGCAUCUUUAUGUUUAAUUGCAAAAUUUUUAUAUUCCCAAUAUAAAAAUUUCUCUUCAAGUAUUUCCUGCAUUGCCAUUUUUAGCAUGUUUGGCUAUUCUGCUAUGUAACCUACCUAGUGAUACUCGCUGGAGACAGUCCGUCUACAGGCAUGUCUGAUAGGCACAAGUUCUU
Molecule: long non-coding RNA, 660 nt
Filed under: Homo sapiens (human)
Lineage: Eukaryota; Metazoa; Chordata; Mammalia; Primates; Hominidae
Description: HSALNT0075348
Source: RNAcentral